RNAcentral lists this ribosomal RNA (570 nucleotides) under uncultured bacterium. RNAcentral describes it as "partial 16S ribosomal RNA". It matches the Rfam family "Bacterial small subunit ribosomal RNA", at positions 355 to 918 of the family's 1533-position model. The record is from RNAcentral.
UGGGGAAUUUUGGACAAUGGGCGAAAGCCUGAUCCAGCAAUGCCGCGUGUGUGAAGAAGGCCUUCGGGUUGUAAAGCACUUUUGUCCGGAAAGAAAUCCUUGGCUCUAAUACAGUCGGGGGAUGACGGUACCGGAAGAAUAAGCACCGGCUAACUACGUGCCAGCAGCCGCGGUAAUACGUAGGGUGCAAGCGUUAAUCGGAAUUACUGGGCGUAAAGCGUGCGCAGGCGGUUUGCUAAGACCGAUGUGAAAUCCCCGGGCUCAACCUGGGAACUGCAUUGGUGACUGGCAGGCUAGAGUAUGGCAGAGGGGGGUAGAAUUCCACGUGUAGCAGUGAAAUGCGUAGAGAUGUGGAGGAAUACCGAUGGCGAAGGCAGCCCCUGGGCCAAUACUGACGCUCAUGCACGAAAGCGUGGGGAGCAAACAGGAUUCAGAUACCCUGGUAGUCCACGCCCUAAACGAUGUCAACUAGUUGUUGGGGAUUCAUUUCCUUAGUAACGUAGCUAACGCGUGAAGUUGACCGCCUGGGGAGUACGGUCGCAAGAUUAAAACUCAAAUGAAUUGACGGGG